UACGCAGGUGGAAAGCGUUGUCCGGAAUUAUUGGGCGUAAAGAGUGCGUAGGCGGUCUAUUAAGUCAUAUUUGAAAGCCCAUGGCUUAACCAUGGAGGGUGAUGUGAAACUGGUAGACUUGAGGACAAGAGAGGAAGGUGGAAUUCCACGUGUAGCGGUGAAAUGCGUAGAUAUGUGGAGGAACACCAGUGGCGAAGGCGGCCUUCUGGCUUGUCUCUGACGAUGAGGCACGAAAGCGUGGGUAGCAAACAGG
Molecule: ribosomal RNA, 253 nt
Filed under: uncultured bacterium
Lineage: Bacteria
Description: partial 16S ribosomal RNA
Rfam family: Bacterial small subunit ribosomal RNA
Source: RNAcentral